This 763-nucleotide small RNA is filed under the name Rattus norvegicus (Norway rat). Its description in RNAcentral is "uncharacterized LOC102546455". Lineage: Eukaryota; Metazoa; Chordata; Mammalia; Rodentia; Muridae. The record is from RNAcentral.
CCAGAGAAGCUAGGCUCAGGAAUGGACCGCAGACUCCUGAGGAGUUUUUCCACUUCCCCAAAAACGCAAGCUUCAGUCUGUGAUUGUUUUAAGACAACCGGAGGAGUGUCCUAACAAGUGCUCUGAGACCAGCUCAAGCUCAGCACAUACCUGUCAUCCUUCUGCUACUGUCAUCCAGAUGCCACUCUGCCUGAGGAACUGCGUCCCAAGCUGGGCUAUCUGGCUUAUCAAAGGCUCAUCCCAUGAUCUCUGACAUUUUCCUUGUCCUGGUUUGUCUAGAUCUCCAUCAAAACAACCACUCCCCGUGGUCACCUCUUCCAGGGGUGGGCGCAGCAAAAAAGGAUGAAUAAAAGUGAAAGACUGCAGACAGCGGUGGUACACGCCUUUGAUCCCAGCACUCAGGAGCCAGAGGCAGAGGCAGAGGAUCUCUGAGUUCCCGGCCAGCCUGCUCUAUAGAACAGAGUCUCAUGCAGCUUCUGCCUGGAAGUCGCAAAUGAAGCAAAGGCUGGCUUUAAGUUCCUGAUCCUCCUGGUUCCACCUCCUAAGCGCUGAGGUCACCAGUAUACACCACCACAUCCUGUCCCCCACUUAACUUGUUUUAAUAUCCACAAUUUAUACUUAAUGUUCUUGGCAUGUGAGCCAAACGGUUGCUAUGGCAACCUCUCUCGAUCCAAACAACCCUCUGAAACAGGUACUGUGUCUGCCACUCUAUGCUCGGGAGAAGUGAGCUCUGGGCAGAGAUGGGGCCUUCUUUUUUUUUUUU